CUAAAGAAUGUUCAUGAGACCAGUCUGGGAUCUAAAAAUUGAUCUGCUGUGACUGGGCAUUUCACCUUUACCAGAGUGGUAAGAGAGAACAGGGUUUCUGAGCUGGCUACCUCCAGCCCUCCACCUCCUUCCUUUGGGACUGACGUGCUUAUCUACCCUGCACUGGAUCUGGGCCGAAGUCUCUAUUUUUCUGUAUGAGUACAUUUUCAGUAAGAUGAGAGAGUGCGUCUAAUGAGUUGAUGGCUUUUGUAACAAAUAUUUUUCUAUCGCUGUCUUCCAACAUUUGGGCAAAAAAAGCAGAGAAGACUAGUUAAAAGAUGAAAUCAUGGUCACAUUGGCUAGAGGGACAAAUCGCAAAGCACAGUUAACGAUGAUAAAGGACGACAAAAAAUGGUCUCUGGCCCUGGGUUCUCUGCUGGCAGAAUCUAAGGGUGCAGACCUCAGAAGCAUUCAGCUCCUCUUGGCUGGGGAAGGCAGCCAUGAUUCAUCUUUUCACCUGGAUGCUGGAAUAUACUCUCUGGAAGCCAACUAGGAGGAGGUUUAAAGAUGCUCUUUGUCACCAUUAGGUAAACUUGAUUCCAGACUGAGAAGAAGAAAUAAAAAGGAAAAGACAUGAGUGCCCCUAGGUCCAUGAGCUUCAGAUAUUGAGCUUUCUUCACUUUAUGAACAGUGUGACUCUGGAUGCCAUCCUCUUCUGUGACAAGUGACCCUCUGAAAGGGAAGAGGGAAAGCAGGCUGCCAUGUCCAUGUCCACUCAGAUGCCUAAGGAUCAAAGUACUUCUCUCCAUCCACUCCUGUACCCACGCAUAUGUGUUUCUGCUCACGUAUUCAUCUUGUAGUUUGUGUCACUGGACAGUAGUUAUCUCCAUGAUACAUAAAAAUAUUAGUGUGAAUGCCA
This is a long non-coding RNA of Mastomys coucha (southern multimammate mouse), 898 nucleotides long. RefSeq lists it as uncharacterized. NCBI's taxonomy places the organism in Eukaryota, Metazoa, Chordata, Mammalia, Rodentia, Muridae. The record is from RefSeq and is a predicted model, not a curated record. The transcript is spliced from 6 exons.